RNAcentral lists this ribosomal RNA (217 nucleotides) under Campeiostachys nutans. RNAcentral's name for it is "Elymus nutans partial small subunit ribosomal RNA". The stretch from base 87 to 217 matches the Rfam family "Eukaryotic small subunit ribosomal RNA", at positions 733 to 864 of the family's 1831-position model. The record is from RNAcentral. Lineage: Eukaryota; Viridiplantae; Streptophyta; Magnoliopsida; Poales; Poaceae.
GGGUCAGUAGGUUGGUCAUGCCUCUGGUAUGUACUGGUCUCACUGAUUCCUCCCUCCUGAUGAGCCGUAGUGCCAUUAAUUUGGUGUUGCGGGGAAUUUGGACUGUUACUUUGAAAAAAUUAGAGUGUUUAAAGCAGGCCAAUUGCUUGAAUACAUUAGCAUGGAAUAAUGAAAUAGGACGUUCGAUCCUAUUUUGUUGGUUUCUAGGAUUGACGUA